UACGGAAGGCAGCAGUGGGGAAUAUUGCACAAUGGGCGCAAGCCUGAUGCAGCCAUGCCGCGUGUAUGAAGAAGGCCUUCGGGUUGUAAAGUACUUUUCAGUCGUGAGGAAGGUGUUAAGGUUAAUAACCUUAGCAAUUGACGUUAGCGACAGAAGAAGCACCGGCUAACUCCGUGCCAGCAGCCGCGGUAAUACGGAGGGUGCGAGCGUUAAUCGGAAUUACUGGGCGUAAAGGGCACGCAGGCGGUUAAUUAAGUUGGAUGUGAAAUCCCCGGGCUUAACCUGGGAAUGGCAUUCAAGACUGGUUAGCUAGAGUCUUGUAGAGGGGGUAGAAUUCCAUGUGUAGCGGUGAAAUGCGUAGAGAUGUGGAGGAAUACCGGUGGCGAAGGCGGCCCCUGGACAAAGGACUGACGCUCAUGUGCGAAAGCGUGGGGAGCAAACGAGGGAUUAGAUACC
Molecule: ribosomal RNA, 456 nt
Filed under: uncultured bacterium
Lineage: Bacteria
Description: bacterial SSU rRNA
Rfam family: Bacterial small subunit ribosomal RNA
Source: RNAcentral